This 814-nucleotide ribosomal RNA is filed under the name uncultured Gemmatimonas sp. RNAcentral describes it as "bacterial SSU rRNA". It matches the Rfam family "Bacterial small subunit ribosomal RNA", at positions 65 to 889 of the family's 1533-position model. Lineage: Bacteria; Pseudomonadati; Gemmatimonadota; Gemmatimonadia; Gemmatimonadales; Gemmatimonadaceae. The record is from RNAcentral.
GGGGGCCCAGCAAUGGGCAACCGGCGAACGGGUGCGUAACACGUGAGCAACCUACCGAAGUGUGGGGGAUAGCCGGCCUAACGGCCGAGUAAUACCGCAUACGAUUCCGAAGAGGCAUUUCUUUGGAAUGAAACCUACGGGACACUUCGAGGGGCUCGCGGCCUAUCAGCUAGUUGGUGAGGUAACGGCUCACCAAGGCAACGACGGGUAGCUGGUCUGAGAGGAUGGCCAGCCACAUUGGGACUGAGAAACGGCCCAGACUCCUACGGGAGGCAGCAGUGGGGAAUCUUGCGCAAUGGCCUAACGGCUGACGCAGCGACGCCGCGUGAGGGAUGAAGCUCUUCGGAGUGUAGACCUCUGUUGCCCGGGACGAACAGCUCGUUUAUACGAGCCUGACGGUACCGGGUGAGGAAGCACCGGCUAACUCCGUGCCAGCAGCCGCGGUAAUACGGGGGGUGCGAGCGUUGUCCGGAAUCACUGGGCGUAAAGGGCGCGUAGGUGGUCUGAUAAGGGUGUGGUGAAAGUCCGGGGCUCAACCCCGGAUCUGCCGUGCCGACUGUCAGACUCGAGGACUGUAGAGGCAGGCGGAAUUCCGGGUGUAGCGGUGGAAUGCGUAGAGAUCCGGAGGAAGACCGGUGGCGAAGGCGGCCUGCUGGGCAGUUUCUGACACUGAGGCGCGACAGCGUGGGGAGCAAACAGGAUUAGAUACCCUGGUAGUCCACGCCGUAAACGAUGGGUACUAGGUGCCUGGGGGAGCGACCCUCUGGGUGCCGGCGCUAACGCAGGAAGUACCCCGCCUGGGGAGUACGGCCGC